UUAAAUUGUUCACAAAAUGUGAUGGCGAUAGUCUUCUUAUAAGGCUUUUGCAUUUAUCAUCCGUUAAAUUAUUUCUCUUCUAGUGUGGCUGCAAUUUGACUUUACAGGUCUAUUACGAUGACUAUGCAUUUUCCUUUCCCUUUAGCAUGAGGAAUGUACGAAUGGUUGUCCAUGUAGCGUUUGGAUAUUUCUGAAAAGAAAACUAAAAAAGCCAUAUGGUCAGAACUUAUAAAGGAACUUAUUGGUUUGGAAGAAAUCAUGAGGGCUACAUACAAGGAAGUGGCUAGACGUAAUAAAGAAGAGUACGUCAUAUUAUUGGGUAAACAGGGAUAUGGAAUGGAUCUAUUGCAUAAUUAUUUGCUGGGAACAGUUAAUGAUGAAAGCUGGCAAAAAACCGAUAUAGAUAUUAAAUACGGAACAACAGGGAAAGAAAAACCUAAGAGAAAAUCUACAAAAAGUACACCGUACUUCGUAAAUGAAGAAGUUAAAGGAUUUAAUUCAAAAUAUAAAAGAAAAGUUAAAAUGACAUUCUUGAAUGCAGACAGGAAAGACUAUUUAUCGACACUUUCAAUUUCUGAAGAAUAUCAUGUAGUCUUUUGCUUUCCUGUUUCAUUUCGUUUUACUACUGAAGAUAUGGAUUUAUUGGAAACGUAUCUGCAAUAUCGACAAAGGGAAUAUCAUACGAGAGUCACCAUAGCUUUUACAUAUAGUGAAUGGCUAGAAUGUGACGCCAACCUUUACAUUAACAAUCUUCCAAAGGAAUUUAGAGAUUAUUUAGAAAAGUUUGGAGACAGCUACAUUUUUUUUAACAGUACAGAGAAAAAAGACGACAAAACUGCAAAACCCUUGGUCAAACCAUUACCUAGCGACGAAUUUAGACGGAAAUUAUUUACUGUGUGUGUCAUUUUUUCUUUCGUUUGUCCUUAUUCUAUAGAGGUUGUUGCAAAAUUACUUUUAUAUUGACAUUAGGUGGACUAUUGGACAAUGAGCGUAACAUACUCGUAUAAAUGACUGUUUAAAAUCAAACUGUUACUUACAACGGCAGACUUUCAGAUGAAUUAAUAGCGUUCAUUUUUAAACAGGACGCAAAUGUUUUUGUUUUAGAUAAGUUAAAAGUUUCUGAAACUAAGUAGCUUUCGAAAGUUUUCACAGAUGCAAUUACAACCACAUUCGGAAAUAAAUAAUAUAUUUUCAAAUUUAUUUUUCUCUCCAUAAAUUAGCGUAGUUAGGAUAGCUUUAUGUGUAUUUGUUGUCAAAAAUAAGAU
Molecule: long non-coding RNA, 1265 nt
Organism: Mytilus californianus (California mussel)
Lineage: Eukaryota; Metazoa; Mollusca; Bivalvia; Mytilida; Mytilidae
Exons: 3
Source: RefSeq, a predicted model, not a curated record